Molecule: ribosomal RNA, 988 nt
Filed under: Synapturanus sp. QCAZ 59998
Lineage: Eukaryota; Metazoa; Chordata; Amphibia; Anura; Microhylidae
Description: 12S ribosomal RNA
Rfam family: Bacterial small subunit ribosomal RNA
Source: RNAcentral
CAAAGGCUUGGUCCCGGCCUUACUAUCAAUUAUUACCUAACUUACACAUGCAAGUAUCCACACACCAGUGAAAACCCCCAACAAACCAACAGGAAUAAGGAGCUGGUAUCAGGCAAGAGCCUACAACGCCUAGCCACGCCACACCCACACGGGCCUCAGCAGUGAUAAAUAUUGACCAUGAGCAACCACUCGAACCAGUUAAAGUAAAUAGAGCCGGCAAACCACUGUGCCAGCCGCCGCGGUUACACUACUGACUCAAAUUGAUAGCAUCGGCGUUAAGAGUGACUAAAGCACUAAAAAUUAGAACCGAACACUUACCAAGCUGUGACACGCUUGUUCCAAGAACCCCUAAACGAAAGUCCCUCUAAUACAACCGCUUGACGCACGAUAGCUGAGAAACAAACUAGGAUUAGAUACCCUACUAUGCCCGGCCGUAAAACAUUAAUUCACACCACCAUCCGCCAGAGAAAUACAAGCCCAGCUUGAAACUCAAAGGACUUGACGGUGUCCCACCCACCUAGAGGAGCCUGUUCUAUAAUCGAUAAUCCCCGAUUCACCUGACCUUUUCUAGCCACCAGCCUGUUUCAGUCUGUUUCAGUCUGUUUCAGUCUGUUUCAGUCUGUUUCAGUCUGUUUCAGUCCUCAGUCUGUUCAGCCUGUAUACCUCCGUCGCAAGUUAACCCCAUGAGGGCCUAGUAGACUAAACAACCUCACACUAACACGACAGGUCAAGGUGCAGCCCAUGAAAAGGUAAGCAAUUGGCUACAAUCUCUCUCAGAACAAACAGAAUCCUGUAUGAAACCCAGUAUAAAGGAGGAUUUAGCAGUAAAAAGAAACUAGAACGUUCUUUUUAACAAGGCAAUGGGACGCGUACACACCGCCCGUCGUCCUCUUCCAACACCCCCCCCCCCCAAAAAUAUGCCAAACAAAGCAACAGAAGAGGCAAGUCGUAACACGGUAAGUGUACCGGAAGGUGCACUUGGCUAACG